Molecule: ribosomal RNA, 254 nt
Filed under: uncultured bacterium
Lineage: Bacteria
Description: partial 16S ribosomal RNA
Rfam family: Bacterial small subunit ribosomal RNA
Source: RNAcentral
UACAGAGGGGGCAAGCGUUAUUCGGAAUUAUUGGGCGUAAAGGGCGCGUAGGCGGCCUUGCAAGUGGCGGGUGAAAUCCCUCGGCUUAACCGAGGAACUGCCUGCCAGACUGCAAGGCUCGAGACCGGGAGAGGUGAGUGGAAUUCCCAGUGUAGCGGUGAAAUGCGUAGAUAUCUGGAGGAACACCGGUGGCGAAGGCGGCAUCCUGGACCAACACUGACGCUGAGUGAGCGAAAGCCAGGGGAGCAAACGGG